CACAAUGUGAUGAUUAGAAAUAGUAGAAGUGUAAUGACCUUUCAGAGAGCCGCUGGGUGGUGUGAAGCGGCAGUGUGAUUCCCUUCGAACUCGUCUAUGAACAGCUGCCCGAUCAUGUAGGGUUAGACGGAAUUCCACCGUUACAGGGAUAGAUGGUGAUAGCCAUCGAAUGAGAUCAUUUCUGUUUACUUCGAAAUGAAUUAGAGUGGUACCGCGAGUUCAACCUCGUCUCUAUA
This 236-nucleotide non-coding RNA is filed under the name Paenibacillus sp. RNAcentral's name for it is "T-box sequence". It matches the Rfam family "T-box leader". Rfam says of the family: Uncharged tRNA acts as the effector for transcription antitermination of genes in the T-box leader family. Lineage: Bacteria; Bacillati; Bacillota; Bacilli; Caryophanales; Paenibacillaceae. The record is from RNAcentral.